AAAAACCGACACAGGUAGGCAGGGUGAGAAUCCCAAGGCGCUUGAGAGAACUCGGGUGAAGGAACUAGGCAAAAUGGCACCGUAACUUCGGGAGAAGGUGCGCCCUUUGGUGUGGUCACGUGCGUGACUGAGCAUCGAAGGGUCGCAGUAACCUGCCGCUGCGACUGUUUAUCAAAAACACAGCACUCUGCAAACACGAAAGUGGACGUAUAGGGUGUGACGCCUGCCCGGUGCUGGAAGGUUAAUUGAUGGGGUCAGCCGCAAGGCGAAGCUCUUGAUCGAAGCCCCAGUAAACGGCGGCCGUAACGAUAACGGUCCUAAGGUAGCGAAAUUCCUUGUCGGGUAAGUUCCGACCUGCACGAAUGGCGUAACGACAGCGGCGCUGUCUCCACCCGAGACUCAGUGAAAUUGAAAUCGCUGUGAAGAUGCAGCGUUCCCGCGGCAAGACGGAAAGACCCCGUGAACCUUUACUAUAGCUUUACACUGAACGUUGAGUUCUUCUGUGUAGGAUAGGUGGGAGGCUAUGAAACCAGGACGCUAGUUCUGGUGGAGCCAUCCUUGAAAUACCACCCUGAAGUGCUUGACGUUCUAACCUAGGCCCGUAAUCCGGGUCAGGGACCGUGUAUGGUGGGUAGUUUGACUGGGGCGGUCUCCUCCCAAAGAGUAACGGAGGAGCACGAAGGUACGCUCAGCGCGGUCGGACAUCGCGCACUGUGUGCAAAGGCAUAAGCGUGCUUGACUGCGAGAUCGACGGAUCAAGCAGGUACGAAAGUAGGUCUUAGUGAUCCGGUGGUUCUGUAUGGAAGGGCCAUCGCUCAACGGAUAAAAGGUACUCCGGGGAUAACAGGCUGAUACCGCCCAAGAGUUCAUAUCGACGGCGGUGUUUGGCACCUCGAUGUCGGCUCAUCACAUCCUGGGGCUGUAGCCGGUCCCAAGGGUAUGGCUGUUCGCCAUUUAAAGUGGUACGCGAGCUGGGUUCAGAACGUCGUGAGACAGUUCGGUCCCUAUCUGUCGUGGGCCUUGGAGAUUUGAGGGGGGCUGCUCCUAGUACGAGAGGACCGGAGUGGACGUUCCGCUGGUGUUCGGGUUGUCAUGCCCAUGGCAUUGCCCGGUAGCUACGAACGGAAGUGAUAACCGCUGAAAGCAUCUAAGCGGGAAGCACGCCCCAAGAUGAGAUCUCCCGAGAGCUUGACUCUCCUAAAGGCACCAUCAAGACUAGGUGGUUGAUAGGUCGGGUGUGGAAGCGCAGCAAUGCGUUGAGCUAACUGAUACUAAUGAGCCGUGAGGCUUGACCG
Molecule: ribosomal RNA, 1295 nt
Filed under: metagenome
Description: bacterial LSU rRNA
Rfam family: Bacterial large subunit ribosomal RNA
Source: RNAcentral